Molecule: long non-coding RNA, 530 nt
Organism: Pogona vitticeps (central bearded dragon)
Lineage: Eukaryota; Metazoa; Chordata; Lepidosauria; Squamata; Agamidae
Source: RefSeq, a predicted model, not a curated record
GUGACUGAUUGGCUGGCUGGAAUCCUGAACAAGAGUGCUUCUGUUGGGAACUAAGGAUAUACUGCAAAAUGUUGAUGUACUGUAGUUCCACUUAUUCCUUCAAACAGAAGACUCAGAUGGUUGAGAGGCUGAAUCUGUCACUGAAACAGCGCCAUGGAGAACCAAAAAGGAGGUGUUUGCAAAUUGAGGUGAAUUCUGAGGUGCCAGGAAGGCUGAGGAGCUUCAGAAGGAGAGACAAGAGUGUUGACUAAUUAAGUGUGAGAAUGUCUCCAUUUUCAGUGAUAUGUGGUUACACUGGUGCUAAGGGUCAGACAGGGCCUGACAUGGGAGAUCUUUAAUCAGCAUGACUGCUAAUGAAGCUCAAAGAACUGAAAGAAAGGGUGUUUAAAAUGUUCCUUUUCACCCCACCAUCUCCUGAGUGAAAUUACUCUUCCAGAUACAGCUAUGUCUUCUACUGUAGAAUGAAUGGUAGCUGAUUGCGAAGAUGGUGUCUUUUCCUCCUGUCCGAUACUACUUACCCCAGGCCAGAA